CGAACGCUGGCGGCAGGCCUAACACAUGCAAGUCGCAGGAGAAGCAUUCCUUCGGGGAUGUGGAGACUGGCGCACGGGUGAGUAACGCGUGGGAACCUACCCUGGGGUGGGGAAUAACCGCUGGAAACGGCGGCUAAUACCGCAUACGUCCUAUUGGGGAAAGCUUUCGGGCGCCCUGGGAUGGGCCCGCGUUGGAUUAGCUAGUUGGUGAGGUAAAGGCUCACCAAGGCUGCGAUCUAUAGCUGGUCUGAGAGGAUGAUCAGCCACACUGGGACUGAGACACGGCCCAGACUCCUACGGGAGGCAGCAGUGGGGAAUAUUGGACAAUGGGCGCAAGCCUGAUCCAGCCAUGCCGCGUGAGUGAAGAAGGCCUUAGGGUUGUAAAGCUCUUUCACUGGUGAAGAUGAUGACGGUAACCAGAGAAGAAGCCCCGGCUAACUCC
This 442-nucleotide ribosomal RNA is filed under the name uncultured bacterium. RNAcentral describes it as "bacterial SSU rRNA". It matches the Rfam family "Bacterial small subunit ribosomal RNA", at positions 30 to 504 of the family's 1533-position model. The record is from RNAcentral.